AACGGCGUAGCCGAUGCACAGACGGUAGAGAUUCCGUCACCACCAAAAGAGUUAAGCACAGGGACACAUUUGAAGUCUCAGAGCCGGGUGUUGGUUCCGGUAGAGAUCGAGGGAAGUUAGUACCGAAGUCUGGGAUGGAAGAUGGCGAGAAAAGCUGUGUGUAUUUCUGAGGUGCCCGUACCGCAAACCGACACAGGUAGGUAGGAAGAAGAUUCUAAGGCCAACGGGAGAAGGGUUGUUAAGGAACUCGGCAAAUUGACCCCGUAACUUCGGGAGAAGGGGUGCUCCAGAGAUGGAGCCGCAGAGAAUCGGCCCAAGCAACUGUUUACCAAAAACACAGGUUUGUGCUAAAUCGAAAGAUGACGUAUACGAGCUGACGCCUGCCCGGUGCUGGAAGGUUAAGAGGAGAUGUGCAAGCAUUGAAUCGAAGCCCCAGUGAACGGCGGCCGUAACUAUAACGGUCCUAAGGUAGCGAAAUUCCUUGUCAGGUAAGUUCUGACCCGCAUGAAAGGCGUAAUGAUUUGGGCACUGUCUCAACAGCCCGCCCGGCGAAAUUGUAGUACCGGUGAAGAUGCCGGUUACCCGCGACAAGACGGAAAGACCCCAUGGAGCUUUACUGUAGCCUAAUAUUGGGUUUCGAUGUUGCAUGCACAGGAUAGAUGGGACACUGGGAAGCAGGUGCUUUGGCGCUUGUGGAGUGGCCGUUGGGAUACCAUCCUUGCGAUAUUGGAAUUCUAACCUGCGCCUUUGAAUCAAGGCGGGGGACAUUGUUAGGUGGGCAGUUUGACUGGGGCGGUCGCCUCCUAAAGAGUAACGGAGGCGUUCAAAGGUUCGCUCAGCUUGAACGGAAAUCAAGCAAAAGAGUGCAAACGCAGAAGCGAGCCUAACUGCGAGACUGACGGGUCGAGCAGUAACGAAAGUUGGAGUUAGUGAUCCGGUGGUAUGUGAGUGGAAAUGCCAUCGCUCAACGGAUAAAAGUUACCCUGGGGAUAACAGGCUGAUCUCCCCCAAGAGUCCACAUCGACGGGGAGGUU
This 1034-nucleotide ribosomal RNA is filed under the name human gut metagenome. Its description in RNAcentral is "bacterial LSU rRNA". It matches the Rfam family "Bacterial large subunit ribosomal RNA", at positions 1405 to 2518 of the family's 2925-position model. The record is from RNAcentral.